RNAcentral lists this ribosomal RNA (253 nucleotides) under uncultured bacterium. Its description in RNAcentral is "partial 16S ribosomal RNA". It matches the Rfam family "Bacterial small subunit ribosomal RNA", at positions 524 to 776 of the family's 1533-position model. The record is from RNAcentral.
UACGGGGGGGGUAAGCGUUGUUCGGAAUUACUGGGCGUAAAGGGCUCGUAGGCGGCCAACUAAGUCGGACGUGAAAUCCCUCAGCUUAACUGGGGAACUGCGUCCGAUACUGGAUGGCUUGGAUUUGGGAGAGGGAUGCGGAAUUCCAGGUGUAGCGGUGAAAUGCGUAGAUAUCUGGAGGAACACCGGUGGCGAAGGCGGCAUCCUGGACCAAUAUUGACGCUGAGGAGCGAAAGCCGGGGGAGCAAACGGG